This 287-nucleotide non-coding RNA is filed under the name Robinsoniella sp. RNAcentral describes it as "T-box sequence". It matches the Rfam family "T-box leader". From Rfam's summary of the family: Uncharged tRNA acts as the effector for transcription antitermination of genes in the T-box leader family. T-boxes are found upstream of many aminoacyl-tRNA synthetase genes and some amino acid biosynthetic genes usually in Gram-positive bacteria. Lineage: Bacteria; Bacillati; Bacillota; Clostridia; Lachnospirales; Lachnospiraceae. The record is from RNAcentral.
GUAAAUGCAAUGAAGAGGAAUAGUACAAUUAUUUCUGAUUACAGAAAGCUGUCGGUUGAUGCGAGACAGUUGAGGAAGAAAUUGGAACUCACCUUGGAGCGGCUGCCCCAAAUUCUUAAUAUAGUUUAAAUGCUGGAUAGAGAAAAGUAGACGCAGACGGAACCCCAACCGUUAUCUGGGUAGGAUAUAAGAUUCUAUUGAAUCCGUAUCUGAUGAGUGUAUGAAGAAAUUCAUAAAAUAGAGUGGUACCGCGCAAGACAAGUAUAUUUUAGUCUUUCGUCUCUAAA